RNAcentral lists this ribosomal RNA (305 nucleotides) under uncultured bacterium. Its description in RNAcentral is "bacterial SSU rRNA". It matches the Rfam family "Bacterial small subunit ribosomal RNA", at positions 337 to 659 of the family's 1533-position model. The record is from RNAcentral.
UCCUACGGGGCGCAGCAGUGGGGAAUAUUGCACAAUGGGGGAAACCCUGAUGCAGCGACGCCGCGUGAGUGAAGAAGUAUCUCGGUACGUAAAGCUCUAUCAGCAGGGAAGAAAAUGACGGUACCUGACUAAGAAGCCCCGGCUAACUACGUGCCAGCAGCCGCGGUAAUACGUAGGGGGCAAGCGUUAUCCGGAUUUACUGGGUGUAAAGGGAGCGUAGGCGGCCUGGCAAGCCUGAUGUGAAAUACCGGGGCCCAACCCCGGGGCUGCAUUGGGAACUGCCAGGCUGGAGUGCCGGAGAGGCA